RNAcentral lists this transfer RNA (72 nucleotides) under Ictidomys tridecemlineatus (thirteen-lined ground squirrel). RNAcentral's name for it is "Spermophilus tridecemlineatus (thirteen-lined ground squirrel) tRNA". It matches the Rfam family "tRNA". Rfam says of the family: Transfer RNA (tRNA) molecules are approximately 80 nucleotides in length. Lineage: Eukaryota; Metazoa; Chordata; Mammalia; Rodentia; Sciuridae. The record is from Rfam by way of RNAcentral.
UGGGCUGUAGCUCAGUGAUAGAGCGCUUGCCUAGCAUGCAUGAGGCACUGGGUUCGACUCUCAGCAGCACAU